RNAcentral lists this ribosomal RNA (253 nucleotides) under uncultured bacterium. RNAcentral describes it as "partial 16S ribosomal RNA". It matches the Rfam family "Bacterial small subunit ribosomal RNA", at positions 524 to 777 of the family's 1533-position model. The record is from RNAcentral.
UACGAAGGGGGCUAGCGUUGUUCGGAAUUACUGGCGUAAAGCGCGCGCAGGCGGCUAUCCAAGUCAGUGGUGAAAGCCCGGAGCUCAACUCCGGAACUGCCAUUGAAACUGUUUAGCUAGAGGACGAGAGAGGUGAGUGGAACUGCGAGUGUAGAGGUGAAAUUCGUAGAUAUUCGCAAGAACACCGGUGGCGAAGGCGGCUCUCUGGGCCUUACCUGACGCUGAGGAGCGAAAGCGUGGGUAGCGAACGAGG